CCGCCUACCAAAUCCUGACGAACUCCGAAUGCUAUAACACAUGUCCGGGAGUGAGGCGCGGGGUGCUAAGGUCACGCGCCGAAAGGGAAACAACCCAGAUUAUCAGCUAAGGCCUCUAAAUCUACAUUAAGUUGUUUAAACGAUGUUUGGUUGCUAUGACAGCUAGGAUGUUUGCUUGGAAGCAGCAAUUCAUUUAAAGAGUGCGUAACAGCUCACUAGUCGAGUGACCGAGCGCGGAAAAUAAUCGGGCAUCAAAUGUAGUGCCGAAGCUAUAGGAUUACGUAAGUAAUCGGUAGGGGAGCAUUCUGGCCUGCGUCGAAGGCGAUUCGUAAGGAUCUCUGGAGCGGCCAGAAAAGAAAAUGUAGGCAUAAGUAACGAUAAAAAAAAAUGAAAAAUUUUUACGUCCGUAAGUCUAAGGAUCCUGAUCAACGCUAAUCGAAUCAGGGUUAGUCGGGUCCUAAGGUGUAACCCGAGAGGGCAACCGAUGGAAAGUUGGUUAAUAUUCCAACACCUGCUUAUAUUGCGAU
This 527-nucleotide ribosomal RNA is filed under the name uncultured bacterium. RNAcentral describes it as "bacterial LSU rRNA". It matches the Rfam family "Bacterial large subunit ribosomal RNA", at positions 932 to 1460 of the family's 2925-position model. The record is from RNAcentral.